CUAGAAGGCAAAGGAGAAGAAGAAGAAGAAAGAAAGAAAGGAAGGAAAAGAAGGAGAGAAAAGUGAAGAAGAAGAUCAAAGAGCAAAGGAGCUUCAUCUUCUUCCUCUCUAGUGCGAGAAAAGGAAGUUUACAAGGUAAGCUUUGAACCCUAAUGUAGUAAACCCUACAGAAAUGGGUUUUGAAUGACCUAGAAAUGAGUUUUAGUGAAAUGUUUAAAGAGUUUUGAAGCUUUCUUUUGCUUCUAAAGAGAUCAAAACCUAGAUUUGUUAUAGAGGUGAGCUUGGACCACCUCUCAUGGUGAAAUCCAAACUAGGGUUUUGGAAAGCCUAAGAAUGGUUCUAAUGGAUUAUAUAGAGUAUAAUGGAGCUACUUUUGCUUCCCAAUGAGAUCAAACUAGGUUUUGUAUAUGCAUUGGAGCUAGGGCACCCAAAUUGGGCGCUUUUGCUCAUAGGGGUUUCUAAGUGCAAUUGACCCUCUAGAAACCUAAUUGGGGGUAUUUCCGACGCGUUGGUGCGCUCGGAAUAGCAUUUCGAAAAGUGUAUGUAAAGUUAUGGCCAAAUAAGCCUAAUUAGGCUUCUUUAUGCCGCAGGUAAAGAAAGAAACGUCUGAAAAUCCCCGAGAAAAUCGUCGGAGCACCUAAAGAGACCUACAAGGUGGUGUGCUUCUCAACUUAUUGAACUUCCCUCUAUGCCUAAUGUGUCAUUCUUUGAGCAUAUGUUCUAUAUAUUGUUGCACAUGCAUUUAGGUAAAGUAAUGAUGAAAUGUGAUGAUUGCAUGAUUGUGAGUACAACUGCAUAAUGAGAUGGUUUGAGAACCUGAUAAUGUAAAAACCUAUGUGUAUGCAUGAGAGAAAAGUGAGCACCCAAAGUGAGCAAAAGAACCGAGUGGCACAAUGACAUAGAUCGAGUGGCAUUCGAUAAAGCUAAUGUGAAAUGACACUAGAGUUAGUGUGAUGUAAAGAACUAAAGUGAUGUAAAAUGAGAAAGUGACAACGUGUAAAGUCAAAGUAAAAUGGGGCAAUAAGAACAAGAAUUGUAACGAACAGAAAUGCUAGAGUUAGCAAGAGAAAUGAAAAUGUAAAGAAUGUGAUUGCAUGAGUUUGCAACAUAAAGUGAUGUAAAGAACACUAGAGCUAGUGUAAAGUCAAGAUUGAACUUAUAAAUCCUUUGAGUUAAGGAUAUGAUCAUACUUGCUAUGAGUUCCGUGCUCGAGCGGUCGCUUCCCCUGGCGAUGGCGCUCCGGAGUUAUGCAUCCGGGUUGGAGUAAACCGUAAGGACGGUCCUAGCUGGUGAGUUCCUGCGAUGAUGGACUUAAUGUGAAGCAAGUUAAUGUGGAGAACCCCCGGGUUACCUUAAUGAUUAAAAGCAAAGAGUAAAGAACAAAGAGCCAAGAACAAAGUGUAAAGUGCAAAGAACUAAAGAACAUGCAUAACCUGCAUUUAGUAAUGUUGGGCAUAAUUCUUGCUAUUUUUCAGGCAUAUUAGCAUUAUGUAUAGUUUGGUUACUAUUUACAGCCUAUUUCUUCUAUUAUGCUGAGUUAGUCCUAGUAGGAAAGUCGGUGAUAGUUGAGGCCGAACCCACUGGGAGCUUUGUUGUAGUUCUCACCCCACUAUUUCCACAGAGCCGGGACCGAGCGAGCCGGCGAGCGACCGAGGUAAAGGUAUCGCGCCUUAGUCAGAGGCCACCAAAGUUGGGUUACAUUUUGUUAGUAGCUACCCCCAUGUUCAUCUUUUUGUACUUGAUGAUUAGUAAUGUAAAGAAAGAAUGUAAGCUUAUUUUGAGGUAAAUGUGAUGUAAGAAAGAAAUGAUGAAAUGAUAUAAUGAACGUAAGAAUCGAUAAAUUACUAGAUGAAUGCAAUGCAUAUGAUCUAAAAUGAAUCAUAAUUACCUGUGAAUGUUUAGUUUCCUUUUUUCUUUCACUAAUGGCUAUUGCUUACCCUCGUGUAAGCCGUUUGUGUAUGUUUCCGCUGUGCUUUUCUCUAUUGAUGAAAAUGUACAUGUGAUGAGCCUUGGCGGAUAGGGGAAACUCUGUCCCGUUCGCGUCUGUUUGACGUGCUCGGGUCGGGCCAAAUUGGCAUCGGUCCCGGGGCAUGACAGAUAAGUUGGUAUCAGAGCCAAUAGUGAAAGAAUAGGAAUGGACCUAGAGACCCUUAGGAUUGGAAGGCCUUAAGGAUCUAGGAAACGUGAGUGACGUGGAAUCAAAGUUAGCGAAAGCAUGUGAUUGGGUUAAGUUGGGAUGUCUUUAAUGUGAUUAGAGGCUAAGUUUAAUUUUCGUUUAUCCUUUACUUCUAGUGUUGUGCCGGGCGGCCGACGACAUGACGCUUGAGGCAAGGAUGAAUGUGCAUGUUGCUUUCGCCUAAUUGGGUAUGGUCAAGUAAUGUUGGUCAAGUGACUAAUGCGAGUUGCUUCUUUUCAGGAAGCAAUGGCACCUCGACGUCGAUCGCAAAUAAGGUCGAUGCCGGAGGAAGCAAAUGCGAUGCCCGAGCAAUCCGGAGCGAGUGGCGACGGAGAGCUUAGGGAACAAAUGGCCGCGCUCGUCGGAGUAGUGCGGCAACAAGCGGAGUCUGUUCAGCGCCAAGGGGAACAGAUUUAGCGGCUCCAGGAGACCUUGGAGCGCCAGUAGGCGGCGGCGGCCCAGGCGGGCGUCGAGCAUGUCGCGCCCCCUGCGGUAGUGCCGAGCGUGGACGUGGGAGCGGCGGCAGCGGCGGCUGUUCCAGUUACGGUAGUACCGGCCGGGUCGGGAACCUCGAAUCCCGAUAGCGCGGCAGUCGAUGCGGAGCGAGAGCGCACUCUGGCGGCUCUCAUUCAGUUCAAGAAGUUCGACCCACCUACCUUCGAAGGCGGUUUGGUGGAGCCAGCGGUUGUGGAGUCGUGGAUCGACUCGAUGGAGACCCUCUUCGAGGAUUUGAAUACCUUGGAGAAGGAUAAAGUGUACCUCGCCACCCAUUGUCUAGGGAAGGCGGCGACGGUGUGGUGGAAGCGAGUUAAGCGGGAUCGACCUGCCGAUCUCCCGCUCAUGCUUUGGGAAGAGUUCAAGAGAUCAGUGUUCGCGAACUACUUCCCCGACACGGUGAAGCGGAGGUUACAAGAAAAGUUCCGCAAGUUGAGACAGGGCGAUCGUUCGGUGGGAGAGUAUGAGCAAGAAUUUUCCCACAUUAUUGACUGCGUUCCCGAUGUUGUUCGCGAUGAUCGGGACCGGGCGGAUUGGUUCUUGCGAGGACUCCAACCCCGGAUUUAUGAAAAAGUGCAGAUCUUGAAGCUGUCGACCUUUGCGGAGGUCUUCGAUAGAGCUUUGUGGGCGGAGCACGGUAGCGCCCAUGUGCGUGAAGAACGAGAAGCUAUUGCCGAGUCCAAGGACAAGGGCAAGAAGAGGACGGCGGGUGGUGCCGGGGGCCGGCCAAAUGCUAAGAAACCCCCUCGGUAUCCCCGACAGCAGUCGAGGAAUUGGAGACCAUAUCGAUGCGUUAUAUGUGGCGGAAAGCACAAGGUGUCGACUUGCCCGCAGCGAGACGGCAAAUGCUUCAAAUGUGGCCAACCGGGACAUCUUAUCCGGGAGUGCCCGUCGUGGACGUCGUCUGCGCCAACGGCAGCAUCAACACCGUCUACCCCGAGACAGCUUGCGGGUUACCACCGGCGAUGUCGGCUGGACGCGCGUCAGCACCGCGUCAGCCGGAGGGAUCGAGAGCGCCUAGCGGUCGAGUCUUUGCCGCUCAGGUGGAGGAGCAACAACCUGCAGCACCCGACGACGUCGUGGCAGGUAUAAUUGUGAUUAAAGGCACUAGAGCUAGAGCCGUGUUUGACACAGGCGCAUCUCAUUCAUUCAUUAGCACUUCAUUUGCUAAGACUCAUGGCAUAGAGAUGGUGUACAAUGAGGACUACUGGUGGGUGAAUGCCCCAGAACAUUCAUUCAGUGUCCACAACGAGUGUUUGGCGUGUCCAGUGCAAAUAGGCGAUUGGAUUAUGCCGGUUGAUCUGCUAGUGCUAGAUUAGAUGUGGGAAUUUGAUGUUAUCUUGGGGACCAACUGGCUCUCACAAAUACGAUGCAGUGAGAAUUGUGAAAGCAAGGUAUCACUUUUCGUCGAACCUAAUCAACGAAGAUUUAGUCUACCAAGCGUGGCAAAAGUAGGACCUUCAGGGGCACUAUAUCGCUUAAGGGGAAGAAAAAUCAAGAGGAGUGUAAGGCUAUUUGCACCAUGUGGAUUCUGAAAGAGUACCACUUGGGAGAUAUUGAUAUGUUGCGAGUACUCUAUAUUUCCGGGAUCACCCAUGGACUUUGCACCGAAUCGGUGAUGAGUUUGUCAUUGACUUAAUUCCGGCGGAACUACAGUUUCGACUCGCUCUGUACGAAUGCAGCCAGUGGAGUUAAAGAGAGCUAACGAAGGUCAAUUACAGACUCCUAUCAUAAAAGGCUCUGUGAGACCGACGUGUGUCACUGGGGACUCGGCUGAGCUAUUGAAAAAAAGUACGGUACAUGGCCUUCCGACUCUCGUAGAUUUGAGAAUUGAAACAAUAGUAACGAUAACAAGAACAAGUACCUCACUUGCAGGAGAUAUGAUGAUCCUAAUUCGAUCAGUUGCAAAGGUCCAAGGUGUAUUAAGAUCAUCUCCAAUCGGGAUAUCAAUCAAUAAAAAUCAGGCCAAGAGGAUUGCACCAACGCAUACGGCGACCCGUCCGCGUAUAUGGCAUAUGAUUCACUUAUAUUCCGAGUUUGGGCUUACUAAUGCGACCAGCAGGCAUUUAUAGACUUUAUGAAUCAGUCUUUAGGGCCAGUUGUUGGAUGCGAGGUGCGUCGUGUGUUUUAUAGACGACGUAUGGCUACCUUCGACCAAGCGACAGAGUAGCAUGAAAGAGCAUCUGAGAGCUGUGUUCCAAAUAUCAAGACAAAGAAGACUCUAUCAAAAUUGAAGAUAAUGUGACUUUUGGCUAAAGGAGGUCCAUCAGUUCUUUGGUUCUGGGUAUUCUGGCGGACGGAGUUUCGGUAGACCGAAGAAAGUGAAACGAUGAACAUGAUUGGCCUCGCCCAACCGAUUAUCGGAGAUCCGCAGUUUUAUCUUGGACUAGCGGGCUACUACCACUUCAUCGGUUUCGUGAGGUCGCAGCAAACAUAACCACUCCACUAAUCAGGCCACCAUAAGGAUAAAUACGUGUGAUGCCGAGCGAUUGCGAUCGAAGACUUCGGAUUAAAGAACAUUGACGUCGCCCCUGUGUUUGCCUGCCGACUCGGGAGAUCUUUUGUAGUGUACAUGAUCUUCUAGUUGUCUCGGUUUGCUGUAUUAAUGCAAAUGGCGUCUACUUGCAUAUGCCUCGCUGCCAUUAAAGAUUACGACGAAGAACUUAUACCCGAUUCACACUACUCUUGAGUUGCCGCCCAUCGGUUGAAAUUCGAUUCCGCGCCUAAAAAAUGUAACAUAUAUGGUAGCAAUUGGUAGGUAUAUAGCUCCGCGAUCACUAAGAUCUCAGGAGUGACUACAAAAGAUUUAAAUAUGGGCUACAUUACGACGUGGUAUAAGUUCGUAAACGUGACUAUGAUUCACUAUAUAUACCACCUGAUACCACCCAUCGAAAACCAAUGUCUGCCAAGGCCUAAGUAGAAGAAUUCGCGGCAGAACCUAGCGACGGCAAUGACCCCAGCCGCUAUUACAAAAGCGAAUGCAACAUUCAGGAGUGAAGUGGUACUCCCGGAGUGCCGCUACCCUGCCACAUUGGUUGCAACCGACCCUAUUUGAAAAUAUCAAGAUUACAAGCUUCGACCAUUAUCUCCAAAAGUCUCGGGUGAUUUGAACAUGGAUAUGCGAAGACAUCUUGUCGUUGAGUUUUGGCGCAAUUAACGAUUUCGAAAAGAAUAGUUUUGCCUAAAGAUGAUGAUUAAAGGCGAAUCAUGCACAGAACCGCAUCAACUCCCUAUAGUGAUACACUCCGUCACUAAAUAAUGUACACAGCGAUUGAAAAGCACUAUUGUGGCCGCGGAUGAAAAGAGAUAUUGGGGAGUUCGUUGCCAAUUUUAACCGUGCCACAGGCUUUAAAAGCAAGCGCCGAUUCUCGGCGGGAAAGCACAAAGUCUACCAAUACCUCAGUUGGAAAAUGACAAGAUAUGAGCAAUGUACUUUGAUACCGUUUGACCUUGAUCGUCAAUGCGACACGACCGAUAUGGUAAUAAGUGAUCGAAUUUGACAAAAGUCGCACAACUUGUCUGCCGUAUACCGACCUGACGGGUCGGGAGACAGCUAGUCGCAAGUUUUACUCGAACAGAAGUUGUGAGACUUCAUGGGUCCAUGUUGAUCGGUUCGGAUACGAAGACUACGCCCUAGGUUCACACCCAGUCUUUUUAACGAGUUUGCAAGACGGCGCUAGGCACUAGCGCUCGACUUCAGUACAGAGACGUUUCUAUCCUCAGCAGUGUAUUAGACCAUACAGACGCGAAACAAUAACAACAUCCUUGAGAUUUACACUUCGGCGUUUUGUGCUAGAUUACACAGGAGAGGCUAUGACUUCUUGCAUAUUUCGAGUUCCUACAAUAAAUACUACCAAGAAGUAUAACGCGAUGGCUCCUUUCUGAGGCACUAUAUAGUUCGACUAAGUGUCGUCCGUCUAUCCAUUUGAGCGACGGGGCCGAGAGAACGACUCUUUGGCCCUUGUGUGCGGAGGCGAAAGACGAAAGUCCGCUUGCCGUCAACGUGCGAUGCGCAAUCUCCUUGCAAAACGAUUAUGCCGACAAGAGCCAAAAAGAUUUAAGUUCGCGUUGGGUACGUGUAUUCUUAAUAUGUCUCGAUAUCGGAGGAGUUAAACGAUUCCGGGGUCCGUGGAGUCGAAGCCUCCGUUAAUGUUGCGACCGUUUGAAGAUAAUUGGAGGUGUUGGGUGCGGAUGCGUAUAACUUCGCACACACCUGAGACUGCAAGGAAGAGUCAGCAAUGUUUUCAUGUCGAAUCUUCGAGAAGUAUACAUGCCAAACUGCAACACAUGAUUGAAUAACGAGCCGUGAUACUGAAGACAUUCCCUAUGAGAGCAGCCCGGUUUCCUCGAUCGAUCCGAAUAAAAAUUAAGAAUCGCAUCCAAAUCUUAUGUAAAAGUCAAUGGACAACCACCGCGCGCGAGAACCCUGGUGACUCGAGGAGUCAAUGUCAAAGAGUACCCGCAUUGUUAAAUGACGAUAAGGUUGCGUAAUUUCGACGACGAUAAUAUUUAAGGGGUUGGAAAAUAGUAAUCAUAUCCCGCGAAAAUUCGGUAAAAUAAAAAUGUGAACUUUAGUCAAUGACAACAGUGCGAAGACGGGAACACUGGUUCGAAAAAAUCCGAAGGUGUUAAAAUGAUCUAAAGUGAGUUGUGGAAGGUUUUCGAGAGCUAAAGGAUCAAAUUCUGCGAAACUGCAGAUUUUCAGCUCUCGGGGACCGGUCCCUGGUGGGAGAGACCGGUCCCCGAACGCGUAUGAAAUGAGACAGCCGAAAAAUCGGCUAAGUCCUGAGAAAGUAGCUCUCGGGAACCGGUCCCUACCCGAGCGACCGGUCCCCCGGAGACCGGUCCCAUCAGAGAGAGACCGGUCGCAUCACGCGCAGCGGCUCUGGCUGCGCAGGGUGGACGUUCGGGAACCGGUCCCUGCUCGGGGAGACCGGUCCCUGCCUGCGCGAACUGCCCAGUUCGGGCAGUGUAUUAAAGUGAAAGUUGAGGGGUUUUAUUGCAUUUUUGCAACCCAUUGAGCUAUGUUAGAGGGUUAAUGAGAUUUUCUCUCAUUCCCACCCUCUCAAACACUCUCUUCUCUCCCUCUCUCUCUCUAGAAGGCAAAGGAGAAGAAGAAGAAAGAAAGAAAGGAAGGAAAAGAAGGAGAGGAAAGUGAAGAAGAAGAUCAAAGAGCAAAGGAGCUUCAUCUUCUUCCUCUCUAGUGCGAGAAAAGGAAGUUUACAAGGUAAGCUUUGAACCCUAAUGUAGUAAAAUCCUAAAAUGGGUUUGAAUGACCUAGAAAUGAGUUUUAGUGAGAUGUUUAAAGAGUUUUGAAGCUUUCUUUUGCUUCUAAAGAGAUCAAAACCUAGAUUUGUUAUAGAGGUGAGCUUGGACCACCUCUCAUGGUGAAAUCCAAACUAGGAUUUUGGAAAGCCUAAGAAUGGUUCUAAUGGAUUAUAUAGAGUAUAAUGGAGCUACUUUUGCUUCCCAAUGAGAUCAAACCCUAGGUUUUGUAUAUGCAUUGGAGCUAGGGCACCCAAAUUGGGGCUUUUGCUCA
Molecule: long non-coding RNA, 8210 nt
Filed under: Ananas comosus (pineapple)
Lineage: Eukaryota; Viridiplantae; Streptophyta; Magnoliopsida; Poales; Bromeliaceae
Description: long non-coding RNA (ACOM_LNC007275)
Source: RNAcentral